This 502-nucleotide non-coding RNA is filed under the name Tersicoccus phoenicis. Its description in RNAcentral is "Arthrobacter sp. 1P05MA Bacterial large subunit ribosomal RNA". It matches the Rfam family "Bacterial large subunit ribosomal RNA", at positions 1333 to 1732 of the family's 2925-position model. The record is from Rfam by way of RNAcentral. Lineage: Bacteria; Bacillati; Actinomycetota; Actinomycetes; Micrococcales; Micrococcaceae.
UCCGCCGAAUGAUCAAGGGUUCCAGGGUCAAGCUAAUCUGCCCUGGGUGAGUCGGGACCUAAGGCGAGGCCGACAGGCGUAGUCGAUGGACAACGGGUUGAUAUUCCCGUACCGGCGAAGAACCGCCCCUACUGAUCCGGGGAUACUAACCACCCCAACCGGUCACCGGGUACCCUUCGGGGUGCCCACCGAUCGUGCGGCGUGGGACCUGAUCCGGGGAGGUAAGCGUAUUAACAGGUGUGACGCAGGAAGGUAGCCAGGCCGGGCGAUGGUUGUCCCGGUCCAAGCAGGUAGGCUGUCCCAUUGGCAAAUCCGUGGGGCGUGACGGCCGAGACGUGAUGGGACCCCCUCUCGGGGGAAUCUGGUGAUCCUCUGCUGCCGAGAAAAGCAUCGACGCGAGGUUCUAGCCGCCCGUACCCGAAACCGACACAGGUGAUCAGGUAGAGAAUACCAAGGCGAUCGAGAGAAUUAUGGUUAAGGAACUCGGCAAAAUGCCCCCGUA